GGACGAACGCUGGCGGCGUGCUUAACCCAUGCAAGUCGAACGGAAAGGCCCUGCUUUUGUGGGGUGCUCGAGUGGCGAACGGGUGAGUAACACGUGAGUAACCUGCCCUUGACUUUGGGAUAACUUCAGGAAACUGGGGCUAAUACCGGAUAGGAGCUCCUGCUGCAUGGUGGGGGUUGGAAAGUUUCGGCGGUUGGGGAUGGACUCGCGGCUUAUCAGCUUGUUGGUGGGGUAGUAGCUUACCAAGGCUUUGACGGGUAGCCGGCCUGAGAGGGUGACCGGCCACAUUGGGACUGAGAUACGGCCCAGACUCCUACGGGAGGCAGCAGUGGGGAAUAUUGCACAAUGGGCGGAAGCCUGAUGCAGCAACGCCGCGUGCGGGAUGACGGCCUUCGGGUUGUAAACCGCUUUCGCCUGUGACGAAGCGUGAGUGACGGUAAUGGGUAAAGAAGCACCGGCUAACUACGUG
RNAcentral lists this ribosomal RNA (469 nucleotides) under uncultured bacterium. Its description in RNAcentral is "partial 16S ribosomal RNA". It matches the Rfam family "Bacterial small subunit ribosomal RNA", at positions 27 to 507 of the family's 1533-position model. The record is from RNAcentral.